Phoenix dactylifera (date palm) is the source of this 2007-nucleotide RNA transcript. It is a transcript of the gene named serine carboxypeptidase-like, with no coding region annotated. The record is from RefSeq and is a predicted model, not a curated record. Lineage: Eukaryota; Viridiplantae; Streptophyta; Magnoliopsida; Arecales; Arecaceae.
AUGGUAGACUCUGGACUUCAAUUAAUCCACACCCUCUCGGCCACUCCAUUGGGAACGGAAAUGGAUUCUCGAAGCUUCACUCCUCCGCUCGCUCUCGUCCUCUCCCUUCUUCUCCUCCUCCUCCUCCCUUCCUCUGUGAACCCUAACGCUAGCCCUCGGCGGGCAUACCCUCGGAGCCCAAUCCGAUUCGCAGAGGACCUCAUAAGGGAUCUCAACCUCCAGCCGGUAAUCCAAGAGAUCGAGGGGGAGCAGAAGGGAGACGACUCUUCGAGCCCUCGCCUCGUGGAGAAGAGAAUCAAUCUCGAGAUUCUCGGAGAGUCCGGAUCGGAUAUACCGAUCGAGCAGCUAGGGCAUCACGCCGGAUACUAUCGCCUCGAACACACUCAUGCCGCCAAGAUGUUCUAUUUCUUCUUUGAAUCCCGAGGCAAAAGUAGCGAUCCAGUUGUUAUUUGGCUGACUGGAGGUCCUGGAUGCAGCAGUGAGUUGGCCCUUUUCUAUGAAAAUGGUCCAUUCAAAAUUGCAGACAACAUGUCACUUAUCUGGAAUGACUAUGGUUGGGACAAGGCGUCAAACCUUAUUUUUGUCGACCAGCCCACGGGAACUGGCUUUAGUUAUAGUACAGACUUGCGGGACCUUCGCUAUAGCGAAAAGGGUGUAAGUGAUGACCUAUAUGAUUUUUUGCAGGCAUUUUUUAGAGAGCACCCAAAAUACUUGAAGAAUGACUUCUAUAUAACUGGAGAAUCAUAUGCGGGACACUAUAUUCCUGCUGCUGCUGAAAGAGUUCAUAGAGGGAACAAAGAGAAGCAGGGCCUUCAAUUAAAUCUAAAGGGUUUUGCUAUUGGUAAUGGGCUCACUAAUCCCGAAAUCCAGUAUGGUGCAUAUGCUGAUUAUGCACUUGACAUGGGUAUCAUUGGAGAAAGUGCCUACAAAAGCAUCAGCAAGAUAUACCCCCUUUGUGAACUUGGAGUAAAACUUUGUGGUCCCUCAGGAGUAAUAGGUUGCCUUGCUUCUUACUUUGUUUGCAACUCCAUCUUUACUUCCAUUAUGCUACUCGCUGGAGAUAUGAAUUAUUAUGAUAUUCGAAAAAAGUGUGAGGGAAGCCUUUGCUAUGAUUUAUCGAACAUGGAGAAAUUCCUAAACGAGAAGUCCGUGCGGGAUGCGCUUGGUGUUGGUAACAAGAAAUUUGUUUCAUGUAGUCCUCUUGUUUAUGAAGCCAUGAUUACUGACUGGAUGAAGAAUUUGGAAGUGGGUAUUCCUACUCUGAUUGGUGACGGUAUCAGACUCCUGGUGUAUGCUGGUGAAUAUGACCUCAUAUGCAACUGGUUAGGGAAUUUUAGAUGGGUUAACUCAAUGGAGUGGUCAGGUCAUCAGAUAUUUGCUGAAGCUCCAAUGUUACCAUUUGUCAUUGAUGGCAAGGAAGCAGGACUGUUAAAGUCAUAUGGACCUCUGAGUUUCCUCAAGGUACAUGACGCUGGUCACAUGGUUCCUAUGGAUCAGCCUAGGGCAGCGUUGGAGAUGCUAAAGAGAUGGAUGAAAGGAAAUUUGAGCGAAGGAGGGACCAUUACCGCCGUUGUUGACAUGUAGUAGAAAUACAAGAAUUUCAAACAAUGUACUCCUAAAAGCAUAAGGUUGUCAGCACCCGGAUGCACAUGCGUGACGCUAUAUUUUAGGUGGAUACCAUGAGACCCAUUCUGCCUUUCUUCAGUGGAGGUGGUCACACUGUCACAGUAAGACGGGCCUUGACUGCCCACAUAAUGAUCUCCAGCUGGAUCAGAAGUUCUACUUGAAGUGAUAUGAAAUGAUCCAUCUACCGAUUGAAGUGAAAUGAAAUAAGACAAAAUCCAACUGUGCGUCGAUCGGAGAGAAGCUGUACGUCUCUUUUAUAUCCUGGAUACUGAUUACGUUGGUUUCGCAAUGAAUGCACCACGAUGGUGUAGAUGGCUCCUGGGUCUCUGCCUUUCGGAAUCGCCAAUCCGUGAAGCUGUUUCGUGGCUGUCUGAAUUUACG